Molecule: ribosomal RNA, 457 nt
Filed under: uncultured bacterium
Lineage: Bacteria
Description: SSU rRNA
Rfam family: Bacterial small subunit ribosomal RNA
Source: RNAcentral
AGAAUCAACGCUGGCGGCGUGCCUAACACAUGCAAGUCGAACGAGAAAGUGGAGCAAUCCAUGAGUAAAGUGGCGCACGGGUGAGUAACACGUGACUAACCUACCCUUGAGUGGGGGAUAACUGAGGGAAACCUUAGCUAAUACCGCAUAAUACCCACGGGUCAAAGGAGCAAUUCGCUCGAGGAGGGGGUCGCGGCCGAUUAGUUAGUUGGCGGGGUAAUGGCCCACCAAGACGAUGAUCGGUAUCCGGCCUGAGAGGGCGCACGGACACACUGGAACUGAAACACGGUCCAGACUCCUACGGGAGGCAGCAGUGGGAAUUUGCGCAAUGGGGGAAACCCUGACGCAGCAACGCCGCGUGGAGGAUGAAGUCCUUCGGGACGUAAACUCCUUUCGAUCGGGACGAUUAUGACGGUACCGGAAGAAGAAGCCCGGCUAACUUCGCGCCAGCAGCCGC